UACAUUGGGUGCAAACGUUGCUCGGAAUUAUUGGGCGUAAAGCGCGCGUAGGCGGUUACUUAAGUCGGAUGUGAAAGCCCUCGGCUUAACUGAGGAAGUGCACCCGAAACUGAGUAGCUAGAGUACGAAAGAGGGUCGCGGAAUUCCCGGUGUAGAGGUGAAAUUCGUAGAUAUCGGGAGGAACACCGGUGGCGAAGGCGGCGACCUGGGUCGAGACUGACGCUGAGGCGCGAAAGCGUGGGGAGCAAACAGG
Molecule: ribosomal RNA, 253 nt
Filed under: uncultured bacterium
Lineage: Bacteria
Description: partial 16S ribosomal RNA
Rfam family: Bacterial small subunit ribosomal RNA
Source: RNAcentral